AACGAACGCUGGCGGCAUGCCUAACACAUGCAAGUCGAACGAGACCUUCGGGUCUAGUGGCGCACGGGUGCGUAACGCGUGGGAACCUGCCCUUAGGUUCGGAAUGACUCCCCGAAAGGGGUGCUAAUACCGGAUAAUGUCUUCGGACCAAAGAUUUAUCGCCUUUGGAUGGGCCCGCGUUGGAUUAGCUAGUUGGUAGGGUAAAAGCCUACCAAGGCGACGAUCCAUAGCUGGUCUGAGAGGAUGAUCAGCCACACUGGGACUGAGACACGGCCCAGACUCCUACGGGAGGCAGCAGUGGGGAAUAUUGGACAAUGGGCGAAAGCCUGAUCCAGCAAUGCCGCGUGAGUGAUGAAGGCCUUAGGGUUGUAAAGCUCUUUUACCCGGGAUGAUAAUGACAGUACCGGGAGAAUAAGCGCCGGCUAACUCCGUG
RNAcentral lists this ribosomal RNA (433 nucleotides) under uncultured bacterium. RNAcentral describes it as "partial 16S ribosomal RNA". It matches the Rfam family "Bacterial small subunit ribosomal RNA", at positions 29 to 507 of the family's 1533-position model. The record is from RNAcentral.